GCCGCGUGAACGAUGAAGGCCUUCGGGUCGUAAAGUUCUGUUGUUAGGGAAGAACAAGUACCAGAGUAACUGCUGGUACCUUGACGGUACCUAACCAGAAAGCCACGGCUAACUACGUGCCAGCAGCCGCGGUAAUACGUAGGUGGCAAGCGUUGUCCGGAAUUAUUGGGCGUAAAGCGCGCGCAGGUGGUUUCUUAAGUCUGAUGUGAAAGCCCACGGCUCAACCGUGGAGGGUCAUUGGAAACUGGGGAACUUGAGUGCAGAAGAGGAAAGUGGAAUUCCAAGUGUAGCGGUGAAAUGCGUAGAGAUUUGGAGGAACACCAGUGGCGAAGGCGACUUUCUGGUCUGUAACUGACACUGAGGCGCGAAAGCGUGGGGAGCGAACAGGAUUAGAUACCCUGGUAGUCCACGCCGUAAACGAUGAGUGCUAAGUGUUAGAGGGUUUCCGCCCUUUAGUGCUGCAGCAAACGCAUUAAGCACUCCGCCUGGGGAGUACGGUCGCAAGACUGAAACUCAAAGGAAUUGACGGGGGCCCGCACAAGCGGUGGAGCAUGUGGUUUAAUUCGAAGCAACGCGAAGAACCUUACCAGGUCUUGACAUCCCACUGCCCGGUAUAGAGAUAUACCUUUCCCUUCGGGGACAGUGGUGACAGGUGGUGCAUGGUUGUCGUCAGCUCGUGUCGUGAGAUGUUGGGUUAAGUCCCGCAACGAGCGCAACCCUUGAUCUUAGUUGCCAGCAUUUAGUUGGGCACUCUAAGGUGACUGCCGGUGACAAACCGGAGGAA
Molecule: ribosomal RNA, 784 nt
Filed under: Metabacillus litoralis
Lineage: Bacteria; Bacillati; Bacillota; Bacilli; Caryophanales; Bacillaceae
Description: bacterial SSU rRNA
Rfam family: Bacterial small subunit ribosomal RNA
Source: RNAcentral